UUUGAAAUUUGAAAUUUAAAAUUUUAAAAUCUAAAAUUUGAAAUUUGAAAUUUAAAAAUUAAAAUUUAAAAUUUAAAGUUUGAAAUAUAUUUUUCAAAUUUAAAAAUUUAAAAAUUCAAAAAUGAAUCUGAAAAUUAAAAUUUAAAAUUAAUUUUAUAAUUUUUUGACAUCGUUUACCAAGCGAUCAAAAUGUCUCAAAAAUGAAUAUUUUAUCGGCCGAUGUGGCACGUUUUUAAGUUCAACGGUGUAGAACUAUCCAAAUUAGAUGAAAAUUUGCUAGAAAAUUCUACUUUACAUCAAUAGCAAGGCUAAUACUUCUGAUUUGAAAUUUGAGUCAUUUAUUACUAUUUUUUAUGAGAUUUUUAUUUUCAGCUGUUCAUUUUGAGGCUACUUGUUUACUAAACAAACGAAGUUAAAAAAUUAUGAAAUUUGGUUUCAAGGUAGUUCCAAUAGCGUAGAUCAUGUCUAGUGAAACCGAUCGCCGAAUUGGAUGUCCCAUUGUUGAAAACAACUUACAAGUACAGCGACUUCCAUACUUUCGAAAGCAUAGGAGCCUAGCUCUAUAUAUAUAUAUAUAUAUAUAUAUAUAUAUAUAUAUAUAUAUAU
RNAcentral lists this long non-coding RNA (606 nucleotides) under Ananas comosus (pineapple). RNAcentral's name for it is "long non-coding RNA (ACOM_LNC040596)". The record is from RNAcentral. Lineage: Eukaryota; Viridiplantae; Streptophyta; Magnoliopsida; Poales; Bromeliaceae.